This 407-nucleotide ribosomal RNA is filed under the name Lingulaulax polyedra. Its description in RNAcentral is "Lingulodinium polyedra partial Eukaryotic large subunit ribosomal RNA". It matches the Rfam family "Eukaryotic large subunit ribosomal RNA", at positions 1 to 432 of the family's 3401-position model. The record is from RNAcentral. Lineage: Eukaryota; Dinophyceae; Gonyaulacales; Lingulodiniaceae.
AUCUCAGCUUAAGCAAGAGGACCCGCCGAAUUUAAGCAUAUAAUUAAGCGGAGGAAAAGAAACUAACCAGGAUUGUCUCAGUAAGGGCGACUGAAGCGACAAUAGCUCACCAUGUGAAUCUGCGUCAAGCCGAAUUGUGGUCUCACUUGCGCUAUUGGGCCGGGCCAAGUCCGUUGGAACACGGCAGCCGAGAGGGUGACACUCCCGUCCGCCCGGCCCUCUGAGCUUGUGUAUUCGAGUCGAGUUGUUUGGGAUUGCAGCUCUAAGCGGGUGGUAAAUUCCAUCGAAAGCUAAAUAUUGGUGGGAGACCGAUAGCGUACAAGUACCGUGAGGGAAAGAUGCAAAGAAGCGCGAAAGCGCUGUUAAAGAGUACCUGAACUUGCUGAAACGGAAGCGAAGGAAACCAG